Molecule: long non-coding RNA, 490 nt
Filed under: Triticum aestivum (bread wheat)
Lineage: Eukaryota; Viridiplantae; Streptophyta; Magnoliopsida; Poales; Poaceae
Description: long non-coding RNA (TAES_LNC001733)
Source: RNAcentral
UCAUAUUAGCAACCCAAAAGUGGCUCACAUCAUGCCCAGAAUCACAUACAUAAGUCCAAGUCCACACAUACAUCAUAUUAGCAACCCAAAAGAGGCUCACAUCAUACCCGGGUUCACAUACAUUACUCCAAGUCCACACAUACAUCAUAUUAGCAACCCAAAAGUGGCUCACAUCAUACCCAGGUUCACAUACAUUACUCCCAAGUCCACACAUACAUCAUAUUAGCAACCCAAAAGUGGCUCACAUCAUACCCAGGUUCACAUACAUUACUCCAAGUCCACACAACAUGACAUGAGCAGCAACAAAAGUGACAUUAAGUGAAAGAAAUUAGAUGGAGUUCACAAGCUGAGCCGCCUUUUGCUUCUUGUGCCCAUUGCAGGGCUAGUUGGGUAAGCUUUUUUGCUUCUAGUGCCCAUUGCAGGGCUGUCAAAUGGCACCAUCGGAUUGUUUUGAUCCUUUUUAGCAAGCUCCAUCUUCCUUGUGGCCCUU